This 370-nucleotide unclassified non-coding RNA is filed under the name uncultured fungus. RNAcentral describes it as "partial contains 5.8S ribosomal RNA and internal transcribed spacer 2". The stretch from base 1 to 133 matches the Rfam family "5.8S ribosomal RNA", at positions 22 to 154 of the family's 154-position model. Lineage: Eukaryota; Fungi. The record is from RNAcentral.
UGGCUCUCGCAUCGAUGAAGAACGCAGCGAAAUGCGAUAAGUAAUGUGAAUUGCAGAAUUCAGUGAAUCAUCGAAUCUUUGAACGCACCUUGCGCUCCUUGGUAUUCCGAGGAGCAUGCCUGUUUGAGUGUCAUGUAUUUCUCAGCUCAUUUGGAUUUUUCUGAAUGAAGCUGGAUGUGGAGGCUGCUGGCUUUUUAAUUAAUGUCUGCUCCUCUUAAAUCCAUUAGUGUGAAUAUUAUCGAAUGUUCCCCAGUGUAAUAAUUUAUUUGCGCUGUUGGUUCUUUGGUAAAACCAUGUUCAUGCUUCUAAUCGUCCAUUAGGACCACAUUGUAUUAAAGGGGAAAAACACUCAGGUAGGACUACCCGCUGA